This 376-nucleotide long non-coding RNA is filed under the name Brassica napus (rape). RNAcentral's name for it is "long non-coding RNA (BNAP_LNC024366)". The record is from RNAcentral. Lineage: Eukaryota; Viridiplantae; Streptophyta; Magnoliopsida; Brassicales; Brassicaceae.
UUGUCCUUUCAGCUCAUCACACAAAUGAGCAAGAAUCAUUCCUUCCUAAGAACAAAAAGGAAAUGAAAACAUAACAAGUUACAACUUUUUUGGAAUGAUGGUAAGUAGUAUUGAACAAUAACUAAGAAACCAAGUCCAGUCCCAAAUCCCUACCCGAACGCAAGCAACGGUAAAACACAACCAAAUAUAUCAUAAACAACUACAACACAAGGAGUCAGGGACACAACCAAAUCUAUCAUAAACAAACACACCAGCUAUAAAUACAGCCGCGAUUAAUAAUACAAGUUAAAGAGUAUACCAUAUUGAUCUUCAAGAUGUACACAGAGCAUGAUCUCAAAAGCAACAAGCAGUGGCGUUGCCAUAACAGAUUGAAAAG